Dipodomys ordii (Ord's kangaroo rat) is the source of this 72-nucleotide non-coding RNA. NCBI's taxonomy places the organism in Eukaryota, Metazoa, Chordata, Mammalia, Rodentia, Heteromyidae. The record is from Rfam.
GGGGUGGUGGCUCUGUAGUAGAGUGCUUGCCUUGCAUGUAUGAGGCCCUGGGUUUGAUUCCUCAGCACCCCA